UUGUUGCGUUAAGGAUAGUAGUGGUUACCCCACACGAAUUGAGAACAUCGAGCCAUCUCACUUUUAUGUGAGCUGAUAGCGAGGUUUUCUUAAUGAGGAGGAGUAAAAACGGAUAGCCUGACCCGUA
This 127-nucleotide small RNA is filed under the name Dokdonia sp. Hel_I_63. RNAcentral's name for it is "Flavo-1 RNA". Lineage: Bacteria; Pseudomonadati; Bacteroidota; Flavobacteriia; Flavobacteriales; Flavobacteriaceae. The record is from RNAcentral.